Molecule: ribosomal RNA, 2202 nt
Filed under: Triticum aestivum (bread wheat)
Lineage: Eukaryota; Viridiplantae; Streptophyta; Magnoliopsida; Poales; Poaceae
Description: partial small subunit ribosomal RNA
Source: RNAcentral
UAGAAACCAAGGGGUGUUUGGGGCGUUUUUCUGGGGAGGCGUUCACGAGGCGGGUGGUAGAGAGGAAAGAGUACCGCCGUGUGCUCCGGAGACGGCCGCCGCCGCUCCCGCGCGCGACGUGAGGAGGCGCGGGGCGCGAGAGCGAUGGGGGCGCGAGGCGGCAGCUUAGGAAGAAGCCGAGACCGCGGUGGCGGCGCAGGAAACGGCUCUGGUCGGGGCCGGGCAAGUGGGAGCGGCGGCGCGAGAAGGGCCUGUACGGGAGGAGCCGGAAGGUGCCGAGGAAGUGGGUCGAGGAACAGCCGCGGUACCCGAGGGGUCGGCGUGGGGGAAGGGGAGGGAGUGGCAAGCGGCACGGUGGCCCCGAGUCGGGGUGGCGAGAGCAGCCGGGGAAGGGGGGAUGCCCCUUAAAACUUUACAGGGUAGUCGUUCGCAAUCGGGUUCAUUGUCGUGUUCGUCAGGUAAGAGUCAUAUGACAUCCGUCAGUUCGUCUAAUGAGUGAGGGAAAGAGUAGCCGUUGUUGUAGUCGAAACUGUAGUGUCAAGUAGUUGAGAAGACGUUUACACUGUAGUUACUUCCUCUGUCGUUGAGACGGUGACGUAUGUCAAUUACUAUUGGAAUUCAGUUUACUCCAAAGUGUUCCUAAGGUUUGAAGCCGGGAGUGGCACCUAUUUGGACGACUACUACCCAUGUUAACCGCUUUCAUACCGGUCUUCCGUCAAUUCCCACCUCUCAUAGGUUCCUCGAUGAUAUUUACGUGGGUCCGCUCGACAGGUCAAUUCUUCUUUCACCUCGUGAGUCGUAUACCUGUCUAAUGAGUUUAUUAAAUAUCUCCGGUUGUAUUGGUGGUCGCAGGUGGUUUUUCCUCCAGGUUUCUACCACCGUUAAAUGAUUUACUUCUACUAAAGGGACUCUUGUCUCUGUGAAACUGAGCUAGUCUUGGUCCGAGAGUUCUAGUAAGACCUUUUCAACUCCAUAGUUUACUACCGUAGUGUCCCAGAAGUUAAAGAUUCUCCUCUCUGCCUCCACUAGUUAGCAGACCGAGUUCACUAGCUCUCCUCCUGUUACUACUUCGUCCACUACUGUUACCUCUACGGCCAUAACACUUACGUUUGUUUUCCGUACACGGCCGCGGUCGAGUUUCUUAGUAGCACGUUUGUUGGUCACUUUAACUAGAAAACCUACUACCGAUGGCCACCGCGUUCAUGCCCGUCUUUCACCAUUUUCCCUUAGGAGUAGGUUCCUCAAUGAUGUUUACGUGCAUGGUCCCUACGCUACAUUUCUUCGUAUAGCUUUCUACAAGCGUUCUGGGUUGCCGCCACUAUUGAUGUAUACUUCCGUUCGUAUCGGUACUACACGGUCGUCGAUCCUCGUCGCACCGACGACGACGGUCACGGUUACGUAGGAGAAGGUAAUCGAAUGAUGUAUCUCCCGUCUUCCGUCGUAGAUCAUCGGUUGCCCACAACGGGUCUCGUCGUGAUGUAUGUAGUCUAAGAAGGAACGUCGAUUUUCUUCUUUUGCUCUAUUGUAUUUGAAAACCUCAUGAAUCACUCCAUUUAAUAAGGUUAUAUAAUCGGGUAAAGACCAAUACGACGACGUAACCAAGUUUGGCUCUCCUAUAAGAAGGUCUCGGAACGAACGUGUCUCGGACACAACGUCGUGACGUAGAACGUACGACAUGAGGGUAACCAAGAUUUAACAUGACCAGAGAUAAGGUACCUUUUUGACAUCCACUGCCUCCAAAGCAACAACGUUCACAUAUACGAGCUCAACAUCGAGAAUGGACUAUAGGAGUAAACAUGUAUAUAGAGGCAUUCACAGUAGACUGUCCUACAUAAUUUCAGAAUUAACUACUUGUUCCAUUACCGGAAGGCAGUUAGAAGGAAAGUCAAACAGCAGCGUCGCCUUACACGGAGCCACCUGGACUCCGUUUUCUUUCUUAGUUUAACCAGACUACGAACACAGAGCAUUUUCGUCUUAUAAGAAACUUACACUCUACUACAAGAACAAUUAUCGUUCCACGAACAACGCAGAAACAGAAACAGUUAGAAUUCUAGGCACCUGAAUUCGGAAGGCAUAUACGAGUAUGCCUAUCUUACACAUGCAAAUACAAGUAUGUUCACUUAAAUACCCAUACACUAGCUGACUCAAACAUGAGACUAAGAAUUUUCUUUAGGGACAUUAAAUAGUGACUUUAUACAGCCC